GCGCCCGUAGCUUAAUGGAUAGAGCACCUCGCUUCGGACGAGGCGGUUGGAAGUUCGACUCUUCCCGGGCGCG
RNAcentral lists this transfer RNA (73 nucleotides) under Candidatus Daviesbacteria bacterium RIFCSPHIGHO2_02_FULL_36_13. Its description in RNAcentral is "tRNA-Arg". It matches the Rfam family "tRNA". From Rfam's summary of the family: Transfer RNA (tRNA) molecules are approximately 80 nucleotides in length. Their secondary structure includes four short double-helical elements and three loops (D, anti-codon, and T loops). Further hydrogen bonds mediate the characteristic L-shaped molecular structure. tRNAs have two regions of fundamental functional importance: the anti-codon, which is responsible for specific mRNA codon recognition, and the 3' end, to which the tRNAs corresponding amino acid is attached (by aminoacyl-tRNA synthetases). tRNAs cope with the degeneracy of the genetic code in two manners: having more than one tRNA (with a specific anti-codon) for a particular amino acid; and 'wobble' base-pairing, i.e. permitting non-standard base-pairing at the 3rd anti-codon position. Lineage: Bacteria; Candidatus Daviesiibacteriota. The record is from RNAcentral.